This 429-nucleotide ribosomal RNA is filed under the name Gemmatimonadota bacterium. RNAcentral describes it as "Gemmatimonadetes bacterium partial 16S ribosomal RNA". It matches the Rfam family "Bacterial small subunit ribosomal RNA", at positions 355 to 776 of the family's 1533-position model. Lineage: Bacteria; Pseudomonadati; Gemmatimonadota. The record is from RNAcentral.
UAGGGAAUCUUCGGCAAUGGACGAAAGUCUGACCGAGCAACGCCGCGUGAGUGAAGAAGGUUUUCGGAUCGUAAAACUCUGUUGUUAGAGAAGAACAAGGACGUUAGUAACUGAACGUCCCCUGACGGUAUCUAACCAGAAAGCCACGGCUAACUACGUGCCAGCAGCCGCGGUAAUACGUAGGUGGCAAGCGUUGUCCGGAUUUAUUGGGCGUAAAGCGAGCGCAGGCGGUUUCUUAAGUCUGAUGUGAAAGCCCCCGGCUCAACCGGGGAGGGUCAUUGGAAACUGGGAGACGUGAGUGCAGAAGAGGAGAGUGGAAUUCCAUGGGUGGCGGUGAAAUGCGUAGAUAUAUGGAGGAACACCAGUGGCGAAGGCGGCUCUCUGGUCUGUAACUGACGCUGAGGCUCGAAAGCGUGGGGAGCAAACAGG